Molecule: ribosomal RNA, 145 nt
Filed under: Streptococcus thermophilus
Lineage: Bacteria; Bacillati; Bacillota; Bacilli; Lactobacillales; Streptococcaceae
Description: partial 23S ribosomal RNA
Rfam family: Bacterial large subunit ribosomal RNA
Source: RNAcentral
GUGUUCGUUAUUAAGGGCGCAUGGUGGAUGCCUUGGCAUGCUGAGCCGAUGAAGGACGUGAAAGGCUGCGUUAAGCCUCGGGGAGUUGUCAAUUAAGCGUUGAUCCGAGGAUGUCCGAAUGGGGAAACCUGGCCCUGGUUAUGUG